RNAcentral lists this ribosomal RNA (253 nucleotides) under uncultured bacterium. RNAcentral describes it as "partial 16S ribosomal RNA". It matches the Rfam family "Bacterial small subunit ribosomal RNA", at positions 524 to 776 of the family's 1533-position model. The record is from RNAcentral.
AACGUAGGGGACAAGCGUUAUCCGGAUUUACUGGGCGUAAAGCGCCCGUAGGCGGCCUGACAAGUUGGACGUGAAAGCUCCUGGCUUAACUGGGAGAGGCCGUUCAAAACUGUCAAGCUAGAGUCUGGAAGAGGAGAGCGGAAUUCCCGGUGUAGUGGUGGAAUGCGUAGAGAUCGGGAGGAACACCAGUGGCGAAGGCAGCUCGCUGGGACGGUACUGACGCUGAGGCGCGAAAGCGUGGGGAGCGAACAGG